Hippocampus comes (tiger tail seahorse) is the source of this 323-nucleotide long non-coding RNA. RefSeq lists it as uncharacterized. The record is from RefSeq and is a predicted model, not a curated record. NCBI's taxonomy places the organism in Eukaryota, Metazoa, Chordata, Actinopteri, Syngnathiformes, Syngnathidae. The transcript is spliced from 3 exons.
UCCCAAACCAUUCCUCAGUGCAAGUUUGUGCCGUCACCACCUAUAGUGAGCUCUGUUGGCAUCGCCUGCAGUUUUUUUUUCCUGUGUGGACAUUCCCCUGUGGACUCCUCGAGCUUCUCCCUGAACAUUUAAUUGAUUGAAGAUGGAUCUCACCUUGACACAAAUGUGCAUAAAAAUGUAUUGCAUCAUGGACACUCGUCGGCCAGUGGCAUAGGAGAACAGAGCCUGCAUUUGCAAGCAAGGUCCACAAAUCAAAGAGGACUUUCUGAGACCGAAACAGCAGAAGGGGCAGGAAAGUGUAUUGAGUGAUUAGCACGUGUCUU